Molecule: ribosomal RNA, 460 nt
Filed under: uncultured bacterium
Lineage: Bacteria
Description: partial 16S ribosomal RNA
Rfam family: Bacterial small subunit ribosomal RNA
Source: RNAcentral
CCUACGGGUGGCAGCAGUGAGGAAUAUUGGUCAAUGGGCGGAAGCCUGAACCAGCCAAGUAGCGUGCAGGAUGAAGGCCCUACGGGUUGUAAACUGCUUUUAUACGGGAAUAACGCGCCUUACGUGUAGGGCUUUGCAUGUACCGUAUGAAUAAGGACCGGCUAAUUCCGUGCCAGCAGCCGCGGUAAUACGGAGGGUCCGGGCGUUAUCCGGAUUUAUUGGGUUUAACGGGAGCGUAGGUGGCAUGUUAAGCGGGCUGUGAAAUGUCCGGGCUCAACCAGGGCAUUGCAGCGCGAACUGGCAUGCUUGAGGCCGCGGAAGGCAGGCGGAAUUCGUGGUGUAGCGGUGAAAUGCUUAGAUAUGACGAAGAACCCCGAUUGCGAAGGCAGCUUGCUGCAGCGGAACUGACGCUGAUGCUCGAAAGCGCGGGUAUCGAACAGGAUUAGAUACCCGUGUAGUC